UACGGGGGGGGCAAGCGUUGUUCGGAAUUACUGGGCGUAAAGGGCUCGUAGGCGGCCAACUAAGUCCGACGUGAAAUCCCAAGGCUUAACCUUGGAACUGCGUCGGAUACUGGAUGGCUUGAAUUCGGGAGAGGGAUGCAGAAUUCCAGGUGUAGCGGUGAAAUGCGUAGAGAUCGGAAAGAACACCAACGGCGAAAGCACUCUGCUGGGCCGACACUGACACUGAGAGACGAAAGCUAGGGGAGCGAAUGGG
Molecule: ribosomal RNA, 253 nt
Filed under: uncultured bacterium
Lineage: Bacteria
Description: partial 16S ribosomal RNA
Rfam family: Bacterial small subunit ribosomal RNA
Source: RNAcentral